UGAGGAAUAUUGGUCAAUGGGCGAGAGCCUGAACCAGCCAAGUAGCGUGCAGGAUGACGGCCCUAUGGGUUGUAAACUGCUUUUAUAAGGGAAUAAAGUGAGUCUCGUGAGACUUUUUGCAUGUACCUUAUGAAUAAGGACCGGCUAAUUCCGUGCCAGCAGCCGCGGUAAUACGGAAGGUCCGGGCGUUAUCCGGAUUUAUUGGGUUUAAAGGGAGCGUAGGCCGGAGAUUAAGCGUGUUGUGAAAUGUAGGCGCUCAACGUCUGCACUGCAGCGCGAACUGGUUUCCUUGAGUACGCACAAAGUGGGCGGAAUUCGUGGUGUAGCGGUGAAAUGCUUAGAUAUCACGAAGAACUCCGAUUGCGAAGGCAGCUCACUGGAGCGCAACUGACGCUGAAGCUCGAAAGUGCGGGUAUCGAACAGG
This 424-nucleotide ribosomal RNA is filed under the name uncultured Prevotella sp. Its description in RNAcentral is "bacterial SSU rRNA". It matches the Rfam family "Bacterial small subunit ribosomal RNA", at positions 355 to 776 of the family's 1533-position model. Lineage: Bacteria; Pseudomonadati; Bacteroidota; Bacteroidia; Bacteroidales; Prevotellaceae. The record is from RNAcentral.